UAUGUUGUGUUGGUGUUCGAUCCAGGUGGAAUGAGGCGGUGUUCCUACUACGAUGUUGAUAUACGAGUAUCAAUUGAUUGCUAGCUAUAGACUUGAGGGCAAGUCUUUUUGAAGGAGGGAAGUAUGUUAUGGGAGUUUUACUAAGGGUAGUCAAGAGUUAGUUUAAUUUGUUACUAGCUUAAUAAGAUUUGCCUAUAUAUAGCUCAAUUAAAGAUAUGUAAUGGGCAUGAUAAGGAUUUGGAUGAAUAUGAGGAUGAAUUA
This 261-nucleotide microRNA precursor is filed under the name Salicornia europaea (common glasswort). Its description in RNAcentral is "miR11036 stem-loop (seu-MIR11036)". The record is from miRBase by way of RNAcentral. Lineage: Eukaryota; Viridiplantae; Streptophyta; Magnoliopsida; Caryophyllales; Amaranthaceae.